UGUAGAUGCCUCUCCUGGAGACUCUUUGAAUCUACUUCAUGAGAUCCAUGACACUGUCUGCUAUGUCGUUGCAGAGCUUCUUGCAUGGAAUGAUGGACUGCCUCAUCCUUCUUUCAUUGGCUAACACAUGGACUUUGUCAAGUUCAACUGCCGAUGUCAUCCCAUUGGCCAGAAAGUAUUCAUGGAAGGAGAGAAAAUUCUCUCCUCUGGAACAUGUGAGUGGUAGAACUCAGGAAAAUGCAGGAUCAGUUAUAUAUGCAUACAUAUGAAUAUUUCAUACAUAACAUUGACUAAUAAUUGUAAUGGCCUUUUAUCAAACUGAUGAUUCAUGUACCUAAAUGUUUUGCUAUUGAUUUAACAAUUAUUCUAUAUUUAAUCUGUGAAAUUAUUGAGUUAGAAUUGAAAUACAGUUAUAACUGCUUCAUUAAAGAAAAUGUUACACUUGCUAUAGUUUUUUAUUUAGCUCUACCUGUAUAUGCAAUUGUACAAUCAAUAUUAUUCAUAUAAUGCUUUAAUAUUUUUGCAACCAGAAACUAUUAAAAAGCAACUAUUUAAAGAAUAAUCUUUAUAUCUGUGGUCAUGUAUCUAUUUUCUAAAUGAGAAGAUAAACGUGAUUUAUCUGUGAAAUAUAUGGGCAUUAAUAACUAGAAGGGCCAGAACAUCACAAGCUUACAAGAUAUUGUUUAGUUUAAAUAAAAAAAGUUGCUGCUAAAUAUUUCUCUUAUAUAUCUAAAUUAAGUUAGCAAAUAAGCCAGAUAUAAUCUUGACAUUACAGGAACAUGACUUCACUAAGUUUUUCUCUUUAGUAGCUCAAUUUUAUAUUCAUUUAUUCAUCUAAUACUAAUUAAAGGUCUACUGUCUUUCAUUCAGCACAAGGCUAAGCAUUGGCAAUAGCUUAGUUAUCCAUAGUAUAUCUCUAUAUAGAUCUUAGAAUUUGUUUCCCUUGAAAUUUGAAAUAUUAAGAAGAUACGUCUUUUCUAUUAUAUACCUAUUUAUAUAUCUGUUACGGGCUGAAAUGUGGCCCCGAAAUUCAUAUGUUGAAGUCCUAACCCCAAAUAUCUCAGAAUAAGACUGCAUUUGGAGAUGGAGCCUUUAAGAAGUGACUAAGGUAGAAUUAGGUCAGAUGUGUGAGCCCUAAUCUAAUUUGACUGGUGUCCAUAAAAGAAAAGGAGAUUAAGACAUACAUAACACAUAGAGAGAUGACCGUGGGAAGACACAAGAAGGUGGCCAUCUGCAAGCCAAGUAGGGAGGCCUCAGAAGUUGCUAAACUUGCUCACACCUUGAUUGUGGAUGUCUAGCCUUCAACCACCCCCUCUGCGGUAUUUUCUUAAGCCCGUCCUAGCCCUAGGAGACUAAUAGAAUUAUCUAAUCUCUCUCUCCUCUCUCUCUCUCUCUGCAUAUAUAAUACUAUAAUACUUGUUUUUUGCUUUUUGCUUGUUUGGUUAUCCACAAACAAGCAAAACUAUCACUUUCUGUUAAACUAUCACUUUCUGUAGAACUAUCACUUUCUGUUAAAUACAACUGCAUCACUUUUUUAUGGUUGUAUACAUGGAUGUAUCAUGUAUAUGUAUCAUAUGUAUAUAAUAUGUGCAUAGAUAUAUAAAUAUAUGUGUGUGUAAAUAGAUAUAUAAACUCCUGAACUCUUUCAAUCAAUC
This 1655-nucleotide long non-coding RNA is filed under the name Homo sapiens (human). RNAcentral's name for it is "HSALNT0087618". Lineage: Eukaryota; Metazoa; Chordata; Mammalia; Primates; Hominidae. The record is from RNAcentral.